RNAcentral lists this ribosomal RNA (710 nucleotides) under uncultured forest soil bacterium. RNAcentral's name for it is "bacterial SSU rRNA". It matches the Rfam family "Bacterial small subunit ribosomal RNA", at positions 64 to 767 of the family's 1533-position model. The record is from RNAcentral.
GAGCGGUAACAGGCGUAGCAAUACGUGCUGACGAGCGGCAAACGGGUGAGUAACGCUUCGGAAUCUGCCCAAUGGUGGGGAAUAACCAGCCGAAAGGUUGGCUAAUACCGCAUGAGCCCUUCGGGGGAAAGCGGGGGAUCGCAAGACCUCGCGCCGAUGGAUGAGCCGAAGCCGGAUUAGCUAGUUGGUGGGGUAACGGCCUACCAAGGCGACGAUCCGUAGCUGGUCUGAGAGGACGACCAGCCACACUGGGACUGAGACACGGCCCAGACUCCUACGGGAGGCAGCAGUGGGGAAUAUUGGACAAUGGGGGAAACCCUGAUCCAGCGACGCCGCGUGUGUGAAGAAGGCCUGCGGGUUGUAAAGCACUUUUAGUGGGGAUGAAAAGCUCAGGGCUAACACCUCUGGGUCUUGACCUAACCCACAGAAAAAGCACCGGCUAACUCUGUGCCAGCAGCCGCGGUAAUACAGAGGGUGCAAGCGUUAAUCGGAAUUACUGGGCGUAAAGCGUACGUAGACGGUUGGAUAAGUCGGAUGUGAAAGCCCCGGGCUCAACCUGGGAAUGGCAUUCGAGACUGUGCAGCUAGGGUGCGGGAGAGGGAAGCGGAAUUUCCGGUGUAGCGGUGAAAUGCGUAGAUAUCGGAAGGAACACCAGUGGCGAAAGCGGCUUCCUGGUCCAGCACCGACGUUCAGGUACGAAAGCAUGGGGA